This 570-nucleotide long non-coding RNA is filed under the name Olea europaea subsp. europaea. The record is from RNAcentral. Lineage: Eukaryota; Viridiplantae; Streptophyta; Magnoliopsida; Lamiales; Oleaceae.
CUAUCCAAAACUUGCAACAUCAGAAUUCUAUAAAUCAUAGUGACUUUUAACAUAAACCAAGCUAUACAUCACCAAGUAACAAUUACAUCAGUGCCCAGGAGAGAAUAUUCUUGCUAGGAAGUGGUAUGACAGAUUGGCAAUAAUCACUUAGAAAUGAAUUAAAUUGUGCAUUCCUAUUUCAUGUAAUUAUAUAUAGGAGGAUCUCACGAUAACACCAGUAUUCCAACACACGAAUUAAAUGGCAGUUGUUGCAAUCUUUACAACGUUAAUGGUGGUCUCUUUUCUGGUGUAUGUUAUGGCCCAAGAUUACUAUUCCCUCUCUUCCUUCAAUAGAAGGUUUCUUGAUAUUUAUAAGACCUGCAACCCACUAGAAACACAAAUGCUUGUUGUUGCAUUGCAUUCGAGAUGAUAAAUUUCAUGUGCAGAUAAUUAACUCGUCCACGGCCACCAAUCAAAAACUAUUCAAACGAAACCCGUGACCUUUCUUGCACAAUUCCAAAAACCACGUCUACAGCCACCAAUCAAAAAUCCCAGCACCAAUCUUUUUCUCAGGCUCCAACUGACCUUUCU